AAAGUAAAUAUGCAGUUAGAUGCUAACAAGUCCCAGUCUCCAAACCUCUGUAAAACAACAAAAUUCGUCUGGACAGCAUAAUAUCGAUAUCAUUUGGAAAUUCAUGAGAAAUAUGUUACAUAUAUACAACGUUAUAGUUAAGUUACAAUCACUUUUCUCUAUAAAUAUGCGAAUAACAUUUAAUCGUGAAUAAUGAUCAUAAUAUUCAAAAUAGUUGCACAGAGUCGUCAAUGACGGAAAAUCUUUCAAUACCCGACUAUGGACCAUUCAUCAUUGGUGGAGCACUUUUCCAUGGUGUUGUACAAAAUUUUGGGGGACUUAGGACAAAGACAGAAUUGACAUGUAAUUAGUUUGCAUUAUAUAUAAAGGAGAAAUAAAUUAAAAGGUUGGUGGUUAAGUGUUGGCAUCAGCUAGGGUGGAAAAGUGACAUAGGAGGAGAAUCUGUUUGCUGGGUCGGUGUCAUAGGACAGCAACAUGCAUCUAUUCUGCCCAGAAAAUAUCUCAUUUCCUAUCGAGUUUGUUCAAUUGCAUGAUUCAUAUGAAUACAAGAUGAUGGCCACCUAUAUGCUGAAGCAGGCUGAUGAUCGAAGCAGGCUGAUGAUCGAACUAUAUAUGUUGAGGUUUCACCAAAAUAUCUAUGGAUUAUGAGUCGGUUAGGGUACGGUUAGGGUUUCUUUUACAUAGUCGACACACGUACUGGUGAUUCUGAAGUUGUAGCUAGGGUGUGGAUAUUACACUAUAUUUUAGCCAUUUGAUCUCCAACAAUUUUCAUCUCAGUAAGGUACAAGUCAUCUUCAGAUGUCCUUCAAUAUUUACAGUACGUGUUGUUGAAAAGAGGGACGGGCGGUGGGUUCUAAGAAUCUAUAGGGUGUAGUGGUCUUCUCCUUCUGGGGAGGGUUGGCGUCUCGCGCGAUAACCACUACCGAGAAACUAAUAUCGCAUAUAUAAUCCUUUUUGUUUUAUGAUUAUUAUUCUGCAGUGAAUGGUUAAUUGCCGGCCUCUAACUCAUCCGUCUACCAGUUAAUUGAAAAGAAAAAACAGUACGUGUUGUUGACUUCAAACCAAUUUUCACCAAAUUGCGUUCAUGUGUUGUUCGAUCAAAAUUUGAAGUGUGCAACUCCAAACUGAUCACUUGAUAAUUAUUUAAGAAUGCAAGAUUUAACACCUUUAAUUACAAUCCACACAUCCUGACCCAUUUAUAGUACAUAUUAUAGUACAUAUGGAAAUGUCAAAAUUGUCCAUGUUCUUUUUUCUCUUCAAAUUGUCUAAGAUAUAGACAUUUCU
RNAcentral lists this long non-coding RNA (1284 nucleotides) under Fragaria vesca (wild strawberry). RNAcentral's name for it is "long non-coding RNA (FVES_LNC003134)". Lineage: Eukaryota; Viridiplantae; Streptophyta; Magnoliopsida; Rosales; Rosaceae. The record is from RNAcentral.